This 405-nucleotide ribosomal RNA is filed under the name uncultured Chloroflexota bacterium. RNAcentral's name for it is "bacterial SSU rRNA". It matches the Rfam family "Bacterial small subunit ribosomal RNA", at positions 355 to 776 of the family's 1533-position model. Lineage: Bacteria; Bacillati; Chloroflexota. The record is from RNAcentral. RNAcentral also lists the same sequence under 1 other name.
CGAGGAAUCUUGCGCAAUGGGCGAAAGCCUGACGCAGCAACGCCGCGUGGGUGAUGAAGGCCUUCGGGUUGUAAAUCCCUUUUGCCGGGGGAGAACUUUGACGGUACCCGGCGAAUAAGCCACGGCUAACUACGUGCCAGCAGCCGCGGUAAGACGUAGGUGGCGAGCGUUAUCCGGAUUUACUGGGCGUAAAGCGUACGUAGGCGGCGCCGAAAGUCUGCCGUGAAAUCUCCCGGCUCAACCGGGAGCGGUCGGUGGAAACUUCGAUGCUCGAGGGGCGUAGAGGCAAGCGGAAUUCCCGGAGUAGUGGUGGAAUGCGUAGAUACCGGGAGGAACACCAGUGGCGCAAGCGGCUUGCUAGGCGCAUCCUGACGCUGAGGUACGAAAGCGUGGGUAGCGAACCGG